RNAcentral lists this ribosomal RNA (626 nucleotides) under uncultured bacterium. RNAcentral describes it as "bacterial SSU rRNA". It matches the Rfam family "Bacterial small subunit ribosomal RNA", at positions 393 to 1016 of the family's 1533-position model. The record is from RNAcentral.
AAUUCCGCGUGUGUGAAGAAGGCCUUCGGGUUGUAAAGCACUUUAGUGGGGGAAGAAACAGCUUGGCCACACCAAGCCUUGACGGUACCCCAAGAAUAAGCACCGGCUAACUCUGUGCCAGCAGCCGCGGUAAUACAGAGGGUGCAAGCGUUAAUCGGAUUUACUGGGCGUAAAGGGUGCGUAGGUGGUUUUUUAAGUCGGAUGUGAAAGCCUGGGGCUUAACCUCAGAAUUGCAUUCGAUACUGGGAAACUAGAGUUCGGUAGAGGGCGGCGGAAUUUCCGGUGUAGCGGUGAAAUGCGUAGAUAUCGGAAGGAACAUCAAUGGCGAAGGCAGCCGCCUGGGCCUGGACUGACACUGAGGCACGAAAGCGUGGGUAGCAAACAGGAUUAGAUACCCUGGUAGUCCACGCCGUAAACGAUGAGAACUUGACGUUGGUUCGUUUUACGAAUCGGUGUCGCAGCUAACGCGAUAAGUUCUCCGCCUGGGGAGUACGGCCGCAAGGUUGAAACUCAAAGGAAUUGACGGGGGCCCGCACAAGCGGUGGAGUAUGUGGUUUAAUUCGAUGCAACGCGAAGAACCUUACCUGGUCUUGACAUCUACGGAAGUCUGCAGAGAUGCGGAUGUG